This 726-nucleotide ribosomal RNA is filed under the name uncultured eukaryote. RNAcentral's name for it is "eukaryotic LSU rRNA". It matches the Rfam family "Eukaryotic large subunit ribosomal RNA", at positions 202 to 664 of the family's 3401-position model. The record is from RNAcentral.
CCCAUAGAGGGUGCCAGGCCCGUAGCGACCGCUGCCGAUCGCGGGAGGAUCCCUCCUCAGAGUCGGGUUGCUUGAGAGUGCAGCCCUAAGUGGGUGGUAAACUCCAUCUAAGGCUAAAUAUGACCACGAGACCGAUAGCGAACAAGUACCGUGAGGGAAAGUUGAAAAGCACUUUGAAGAGAGAGUUCAAGAGUACGUGAAACCGUUCAGGGGUAAACCUGAGAAACCCGAAAGGUCGAAAGGGGAAAUUCAUUCGCGUAUCGGCCGUCGGCGUGGAGCGUGUCGAGUGACGGAUGGCGUACGCGCCGUUCGCACCUUCCGUUCUUCGAACCGGCGUCGAACGCGUGCACUUUUCCCCUAGUAGGACGUCGCGAUCCGUUGGGUGUCGGUCUAAGACUCUCGUGGUGGAGCCCGUACGGUCGCUUUACGGCGUGUACCGUGCGGACCCACGGUGUUCCGGCCGACUCGCUCGACGGUAUACAAAUGGCGUGGGGCCGCUAUUCGCCUAUUAUUCUACUAUAAUAGGUAGUUAGCGUUCGGCACGUGGCAAGCGCGUUCGGCGUCUGACGGCGAUCGGACCUCGUGCCGGUCCUGUCCCCGAACGACUGUUGGCCACGUAGUUCUCGAACAGACCUCACGUACGUGUGACUUCUCGUCGCGCGUACAUAAACGCCGAUCUGCGACGCUAUAGCUUUGGGUACUUUCAGGACCCGUCUUGAAACACGG